This 227-nucleotide long non-coding RNA is filed under the name Lathyrus oleraceus (garden pea). RNAcentral describes it as "Pisum sativum (pea) long non-coding RNA (PSAT_LNC037994)". Lineage: Eukaryota; Viridiplantae; Streptophyta; Magnoliopsida; Fabales; Fabaceae. The record is from RNAcentral.
UUGCUUCAUGGUGUAUAAAUACACUUUCUACUUGUAUGUAUUAUUAAAAUUUUGAUAGUUGAAUAAUUUUACUAUUAUUUUGGAGAUGUGAUGUUCUAGUAUGAUAAAGAGUAAAAAAAUUACUCUUUUUCCUUUGUCUUCUCUUUUCUCUCUCUCCCCUCGUUUCUCGAUUUUCUUUCUCUCUUUUUGUCUCCCAAGAAUCCUUAAUCCUCUUCCUUCUUUCUUUG